UCAGACUGCAAAAGUUGAAUUUUCAUAUUCUGCUUACCAAAAGUAUAUUCAGGGAAUCAUGGGAGAAAAUUUUUGCAAUAUAUCCAUCUAACAAAAGUCUAAUAUCCAGAGUCUACAAGGGACUUAAAGAAAUUUACAAGAAAAAAAAAACAACCCCAUUGAAAAGUGGGCAAAGGACAUGAACAGACAAUUCUCAAAAGAAGACGUACAUGUGGCCGACAACCUGCUGGACAUCUCCACCCAGAAGUACUACAGGAACUUCAAACUCAACGCAUCCACAGUGGAAUUCAUGAGCGGGCCAGGCACUGCGUUUUCUUCAUCUUUGUGUAUCCAGCACCUAGCAGAGAGCAGGAAUUGUUGGCUGAGUAAGCAUCUUAUUUGGAAGGCAGAGGGGCGGAAAUGUUUGAGAAUUACAGGAGUAGGUAAAAGUCCCAAAGCGAUGUAAGGAAUGCAGGUUGGAGCGUUCAUCAAAACUGCGUUUCCUAGAAGUCAUUGUAUGAAAAGGACACCAGCACAUGUAAAUUUACAGCAGCACAAUUCACAAUUGCAAAGAUGUGGAACCAACCUAAGUGCCCAUCAACCAAUGAGUGGGUAAGGAAAACGUGGUACAUAUACACCAUGGAAUACUACUCAGCCAUUAAAAGGGAGGAAAUAAUGUCUUUUGCAGCAACUUGGAUGGAGCUGGAGGCCAUUAUUCUAAGUGAAGUAAGGCGGGAGUGGAAAACCAAAACCACAUGUUCUCACUUAUAAGUGGGAGCUAAGCUAUGAGUAUGCAAAGGCAUACAGUGUGAUAUCAUGGACUUCAGAAAUGCAGAAGGGAGAAAGGGAAGGGGGGCUGGGAUAAAUCACCACUAUAUAAUUCAUCCAUGUAACAAAAAACACCACUUAUACCCCACAAACUAUUGAAAUACAUUUUUUUUAAAGAAAGAAACUGUAUUUCCUGAUGCACUCAAAUAAAAUAAUAAAAUCCUGGGUCUUUGAAAAUGAAUCCUUCAUGGUUAGGCAUCACCAUCUAGUGAAUAUCCUGAGCCAGCCAGCUGCUUUCACCUUUUUUUUUUUUUUUUUUGUGAGACAGAGUCUCACCGUGUUGCCCAGGCUAGAGUGCAGUGGUGUGAUCUCAGCUCACCUCAACCUCUGCCCUCUAGGCUAAAGCCUUCCUCCCACCUCAGCCUCUCGUGUAGCAGGAGCCACAGGCUUGCACCACCACACUUGCCUAAUUUUUUUUUAAAUUUUUUUUAUUUUUUGUAGAGACAUGGCCACCUCCCUUGGCCUCCCAAAGUGCUGGGAUUACAGACGUGAGCCUUGGCUGCACCCGGCCCUUGGCUACUGUUUGAAGCUACUAUUACCUUCUUGCUUAUCAAGUUGCUCAUUUACUUCUCAGGGCCAGCUAGGUGCCUGGAACUUCCCUUGAAGGAACUCAAGAUUUUCCUUUAUUGUCAUGUUUGGGGGUGCUCAGCAGACCCUUAAGAGAGGUCCCUGCUCCAUCUCACCAAAUCAAGAAAUUCUUAGAGGUUCAUGAAACUAAGGGCCUGCCCAGAACACUAGAACCAAAGAAACAUCUGCCGCAAAUGUACACUUAGGUUUUUACGUCUUUCAAGUCGGGAGCAG
RNAcentral lists this long non-coding RNA (1608 nucleotides) under Papio anubis (olive baboon). RNAcentral's name for it is "lncRNA (ENSPANG00000042901.1)". The record is from RNAcentral. Lineage: Eukaryota; Metazoa; Chordata; Mammalia; Primates; Cercopithecidae.